GACAGAGGGCGCGAACGUUGUUCGGAAUUACUGGGCGUAAAGCGCAUGUAGGCGGCAGCGCAAGUCGGGCGUGAAAUCCCACGGCUCAACCGUGGAAGUGCACUCGAAACUGCGCAGCUAGAGUCCUGGAGAGGAAGGUGGAAUGCUUGGUGUAGAGGUGAAAUUCGUAGAUAUCAGGAGGAACACCGGUGGCGAAGGCGGGACUCUGGGCCGAUACUGACGCUGAGGAGCGAAAGCGUGGGGAGCAAACAGG
This 253-nucleotide ribosomal RNA is filed under the name uncultured bacterium. RNAcentral describes it as "partial 16S ribosomal RNA". It matches the Rfam family "Bacterial small subunit ribosomal RNA", at positions 524 to 776 of the family's 1533-position model. The record is from RNAcentral.